CGAAUUCCGUCAUCAUCUCCACCAUAGCGGAUCAUCCUUUGAUCUCCCCGUGAAUUGCAACAGGUUCUGGUUUCCUACCUUACUGCUGCUACAAUUUAGUUAUCCUUAUUCGAAAAUCCAAAAAAAAAAUUUGUUCCUAUAUUGCUGCAUAAACUUUUCAUCACAAAGUUUUCAUCUCUACGACGAAAGAUACAUUACAGAAUUCCAACCGCAU
Molecule: long non-coding RNA, 214 nt
Filed under: Musa acuminata (dwarf banana)
Lineage: Eukaryota; Viridiplantae; Streptophyta; Magnoliopsida; Zingiberales; Musaceae
Description: long non-coding RNA (MACU_LNC005762)
Source: RNAcentral